Molecule: ribosomal RNA, 437 nt
Filed under: uncultured Clostridiales Family IV bacterium
Lineage: Bacteria; Bacillati; Bacillota; Clostridia; Eubacteriales; Eubacteriales Family IV. Incertae Sedis
Description: bacterial SSU rRNA
Rfam family: Bacterial small subunit ribosomal RNA
Source: RNAcentral
ACGGAAGGCAGCAGUGGGGGAUAUUGCACAAUGGGGGAAACCCUGAUGCAGCAACGCCGCGUGUGGGAAGAAGGUUUUCGGAUUGUAAACCACUGUUCUUAGUGAAGAAGAAAGUGACGGUAGCUAAGAAGAAAGCUCCGGCUAACUACGUGCCAGCAGCCGCGGUAAUACGUAGGGAGCGAGCGUUGUCCGGAUUUACUGGGUGUAAAGGGUGCGUAGGCGGCCCUGCAAGUCAGACGUGAAAGCCCCGGGCUCAACCCGGGAACUGCGUUUGAAACUGUGGGGCUUGAGUGAAGUAGAGGUAGGCGGAAUUCCCGGUGUAGCGGUGAAAUGCGUAGAGAUCGGGAGGAACACCAGUGGCGAAGGCGGCCUACUGGGCUUUAACUGACGCUGAGGCACGAAAGCGUGGGUAGCAAACAGGAUUAGAUACCCUGGUA